CAAUGGGCGAAAGCCUGACGGAGCAACGCCGCGUGAGUGAUGAAGGUCUUCGGAUCGUAAAACUCUGUUAUUAGGGAAGAACAUAUGUGUAAGUAACUGUGCACAUCUUGACGGUACCUAAUCAGAAAGCCACGGCUAACUACGUGCCAGCAGCCGCGGUAAUACGUAGGUGGCAAGCGUUAUCCGGAAUUAUUGGGCGUAAAGCGCGCGUAGGCGGUUUUUUAAGUCUGAUGUGAAAGCCCACGGCUCAACCGUGGAGGGUCAUUGGAAACUGGAAAACUUGAGUGCAGAAGAGGAAAGUGGAAUUCCAUGUGUAGCGGUGAAAUGCGCAGAGAUAUGGAGGAACACCAGUGGCGAAGGCGACUUUCUGGUCUGUAACUGACGCUGAUGUGCGAAAGCGUGGGGAUCAAACAGGAUUAGAUACCCUGGUAGUCCACGCCGUAAACGAUGAGUGCUAAGUGUUAGGGGGUUUCCGCCCCUUAGUGCUGCAGCUAACGCAUUAAGCACUCCGCCUGGGGAGUACGACCGCAAGGUGAAACUCAAAGGAAUUGACGGC
This 556-nucleotide ribosomal RNA is filed under the name uncultured bacterium. RNAcentral describes it as "bacterial SSU rRNA". It matches the Rfam family "Bacterial small subunit ribosomal RNA", at positions 369 to 917 of the family's 1533-position model. The record is from RNAcentral.